Molecule: long non-coding RNA, 1800 nt
Filed under: Athene cunicularia (burrowing owl)
Lineage: Eukaryota; Metazoa; Chordata; Aves; Strigiformes; Strigidae
Description: lncRNA (ENSACUG00000011236.1)
Source: RNAcentral
CUGCUGUGCUUCAGCUAGUGUUUUUGCCUUCCUCAUUAUAUUACUGUGUCUUUGAGAAACAGCUGAGUUUCUUCUAUUUAAGAUGUUUUUUGCUGGCAGGUUGGAUCUGACUCCUUUCUGAAAGGGCUGAUUGAAGGGCACCAGGAUCAGGUGAACUUCAGAACAGGUUUCUAGAGCUGUAAGAGAAGGCACCGCGUCACUGAGAUACAUGAACCUACAGCAACCAACAGCAACAUGGAUGACUGUUCCCCUCACGCCUCUGGGCUUUGUCUUUGCCACGAAUGUAAACCCGCUGUUCAUAGUACAGUUGCUGGAGUCAAAAGGUUGUUGGAUUCCCCAGAGAAGGUUGAGGUCCUGCAGUCAGCUAAGAAAGGUUGUGUGUCAAGGCAUGGUUCUGGCACUUCAGAUCCAUCAGAGAAAUCGUUGUGCUCUUCCCCAGGCUCUGCCUCCUUUCAAGGUUCCUUGCACUUUCUGGAUGAUACUGGCCAUGAUGACCUUGUUGCCAGUUCUUCUGUGCCAAAAUACGAUGAUGUAGUCAUUUCUCUAGAUAUAACCAGAUAUUUUGGUGAUAGUGAUGACUCCUUGUUGGAACUGUCAGACGGUGAAGAAGGGAAUUCUUCUUUCACUUACACUGAGGAAGAGAUCCAGGAAAUCCUGGCAGAUGAUUGUGUGGAAUCUGAGCAGUGCCUAACUAGAAAAAGCAGUCUGAGCCAAAAUAUAAAUGAAGAGAGUGAAAAGGAUGAGAGCAGCAGCUACUCUGGGGCAUCAGUCAUCAGCGAAGAUGCAAAUGAAGAGUCAAAGAUCGCAGAGAAACCAAAUGACUCUGUGUCCAGAGAGUGUUUUUCAGUCAGCUCUGAAUGCUCUCCUAGCCCUUUGAAUGGAAGCGCCAGUUCGGAUGAGAACCAUCUGCAGUCAGCUCAGGUAACUCGCAUGUUGUUUGACCUUGACAUUCAGGAGCUUCUGAGUCUUAGCCCUAUUCAUGCUGAUGAUGUAGAUGAGUCUCAGGAGGUCAAUACUUUGGAGGAAGCUGAAAGAGAAGCUUCAGAAGGAAUCAUAAAUGAUUGCCUCGAGUAUGCUAAAACUGAUAGUAGCUGUGUUCUCGAAGACUCUUUAGAGGGGCUGAUGUCUAAUGACUGGCAAAGCCUGGAUGUGGACGGCCUGGGAAAGACUCCCUUUACCAGCAAAGAUGUGUCCCACUUCAGUGGUCAUCCUGUGGGAAGAUCCACGCCCUCUUCUGACCUGGCCCGUGACCAGAGGACAGCUGAUGAGAGCUCAGCACCCGUGUUGCUGAGGUGUCCCAUGCCACUUUCUGGAAUCCUAAACCAAGAACUUCCCAAAGCAACAAAGAGCUGUUUUUCAAGGAAAUCAGACUCUCUGGAGGAUGAUGAGGGGGAAUCUACAGAAGCUGAGCAGCCAUCAAACAGCAUUAAAUUAAGUGAUACAGCUGUAGGCCAGAUUGAGCAAGAAGAGACAACCAGUGGGAAGAAGCCUGGCAAAGUUAUUCCAGUGCCACAGGAGGUGGAAGAAAGACUGAAUCAACGGACACGCAUUUUGGAAGCGGAGCUGGGCCAGAGAAACAUUUCUAUCCAGACUGUGUGCAUCUAUACAAAGGAAACUGACUCCUACACCAAGUAACCCCCAGAUGGGAUGGGGUAAGGCUGGACUGGUGGGAGGGCAGAGUGGAGUAUGGAUACCAUAGCAGGAGCCCUGGCUUGCUGCACUUGUAUUCUUGGACAUUUUGCAUAUACUUCUUUUUUAGAGGGAAAUAAAAUGACCUGCUACACUGGCUAGUGCUGCCUC